GCAGCAGUUCUCCCAUACCAGUGCACAAUUAAACAAGGUUUCAGUGGCUGUAUCAUCCAUGAUGGAAGAAGUGUGUUUUGGAUAUAUCCGUAUAGCACACGCGCUAGAAUAAAAAAACCUUUGGGUACCAGCAGGAGCAGAGUCCAGCAUGUAAGAUACUAACUCCAGAAGAGACCACCCCUCACAGUAUUUCAGAGACUUUUGGACAUGGUACUGAGGAAUGUAUGAUGAAACUUGGUCUGCAAAAUAUCACUGUGCUAUCACAGAGGCUCUCUCUACCAAGUCUUCGGCUGAAGGAGGCUCUGCCCUUAAACCAGAUAGUCCACUGACCAGGAAGAUAGCAUUGACAGUUAUCUCAAUUGUUUGACUGUGGAUCUCCACAUCAGCACAAGCACUUGGUUUUGGCUGAAACAACACCAGUAAUUUAAGGUCCACAGAGAAUUGUGUCUAACACGAGAGCAUCAGCUGCCAGACUUCCAAGCUCUGUGGCUGGAAGCAGAGCCAGGAGAGUGCACAGGUGAGGGAGGAGAGUGCACAGGGAGGAAGAUGCUGAAGAGUACUCGGUUUAUGUCAGUGAAGAGGGAAGAGUCAGCAUAACAAGACCAAAGACCUCUGCUUUUCUUCAUCCAACACAACCAGAAACAAUAUGAUGCAAUGCUCCAAACACCAGACUUGCACAUAAAGUAAAGAUGAACAGACUCACUUGCAG
Molecule: long non-coding RNA, 709 nt
Filed under: Numida meleagris (helmeted guineafowl)
Lineage: Eukaryota; Metazoa; Chordata; Aves; Galliformes; Numididae
Description: lncRNA (ENSNMEG00000010850.1)
Source: RNAcentral